This 2787-nucleotide ribosomal RNA is filed under the name Escherichia coli. RNAcentral's name for it is "bacterial LSU rRNA". It matches the Rfam family "Bacterial large subunit ribosomal RNA". Lineage: Bacteria; Pseudomonadati; Pseudomonadota; Gammaproteobacteria; Enterobacterales; Enterobacteriaceae. The record is from RNAcentral.
AGCGUACACGGUGGAUGCCCUGGCAGUCAGAGGCGAUGAAGGACGUGCUAAUCUGCGAUAAGCGUCGGUGAGGUGAUAUGAACCGUUAUAACCGGCGAUUUCCGAAUGGGGAAACCCAGUGUGUUUCGACACACUAUCAUUAACUGAAUCCAUAGGUUAAUGAGGCGAACCGGGGGAACUGAAACAUCUAAGUACCCCGAGGAAAAGAAAUCAACCGAGAUUCCCCCAGUAGCGGCGAGCGAACGGGGAGGAGCCCAGAGCCUGAAUCAGUGUGUGUGUUAGUGGAAGCGUCUGGAAAGGCGCGCGAUACAGGGUGACAGCCCCGUACACAAAAAUGCACAUAUUGUGAGCUCGAUGAGUAGGGCGGGACACGUGGUAUCCUGUCUGAAUAUGGGGGGACCAUCCUCCAAGGCUAAAUACUCCUGACUGACCGAUAGUGAACCAGUACCGUGAGGGAAAGGCGAAAAGAACCCCGGCGAGGGGAGUGAAAAAGAACCUGAAACCGUGUACGUACAAGCAGUGGGAGCCUCUUAAUGGGGUGACUGCGUACCUUUUGUAUAAUGGGUCAGCGACUUAUAUUCUGUAGCAAGGUUAACCGAAUAGGGGAGCCGAAGGGAAACCGAGUCUUAACUGGGCGUUAAGUUGCAGGGUAUAGACCCGAAACCCGGUGAUCUAGCCAUGGGCAGGUUGAAGGUUGGGUAACACUAACUGGAGGACCGAACCGACUAAUGUUGAAAAAUUAGCGGAUGACUUGUGGCUGGGGGUGAAAGGCCAAUCAAACCGGGAGAUAGCUGGUUCUCCCCGAAAGCUAUUUAGGUAGCGCCUCGUGAAUUCAUCUCCGGGGGUAGAGCACUGUUUCGGCAAGGGGGUCAUCCCGACUUACCAACCCGAUGCAAACUGCGAAUACCGGAGAAUGUUAUCACGGGAGACACACGGCGGGUGCUAACGUCCGUCGUGAAGAGGGAAACAACCCAGACCGCCAGCUAAGGUCCCAAAGUCAUGGUUAAGUGGGAAACGAUGUGGGAAGGCCCAGACAGCCAGGAUGUUGGCUUAGAAGCAGCCAUCAUUUAAAGAAAGCGUAAUAGCUCACUGGUCGAGUCGGCCUGCGCGGAAGAUGUAACGGGGCUAAACCAUGCACCGAAGCUGCGGCAGCGACACUAUGUGUUGUUGGGUAGGGGAGCGUUCUGUAAGCCUGUGAAGGUAGCCUGUGAGGGUUGCUGGAGGUAUCAGAAGUGCGAAUGCUGACAUAAGUAACGAUAAAGCGGGUGAAAAGCCCGCUCGCCGGAAGACCAAGGGUUCCUGUCCAACGUUAAUCGGGGCAGGGUGAGUCGACCCCUAAGGCGAGGCCGAAAGGCGUAGUCGAUGGGAAACAGGUUAAUAUUCCUGUACUUGGUGUUACUGCGAAGGGGGGACGGAGAAGGCUAUGUUGGCCGGGCGACGGUUGUCCCGGUUUAAGCGUGUAGGCUGGUUUUCCAGGCAAAUCCGGAAAAUCAAGGCUGAGGCGUGAUGACGAGGCACUACGGUGCUGAAGCGACAAAUGCCCUGCUUCCAGGAAAAGCCUCUAAGCAUCAGGUAACAUCAAAUCGUACCCCAAACCGACACAGGUGGUCAGGUAGAGAAUACCAAGGCGCUUGAGAGAACUCGGGUGAAGGAACUAGGCAAAAUGGUGCCGUAACUUCGGGAGAAGGCACGCUGAUAUGUAGGUGAAGCGACUUGCUCGUGGAGCUGAAAUCAGUCGAAGAUACCAGCUGGCUGCAACUGUUUAUUAAAAACACAGCACUGUGCAAACACGAAAGUGGACGUAUACGGUGUGACGCCUGCCCGGUGCCGGAAGGUUAAUUGAUGGGGUUAGCGGUAACGCGAAGCUCUUGAUCGAAGCCCCGGUAAACGGCGGCCGUAACUAUAACGGUCCUAAGGUAGCGAAAUUCCUUGUCGGGUAAGUUCCGACCUGCACGAAUGGCGUAAUGAUGGCCAGGCUGUCUCCACCCGAGACUCAGUGAAAUUGAACUCGCUGUGAAGAUGCAGUGUACCCGCGGCAAGACGGAAAGACCCCGUGAACCUUUACUAUAGCUUGACACUGAACAUUGAGCCUUGAUGUGUAGGAUAGGUGGGAGGCUUUGAAGUGUGGACGCCAGUCUGCAUGGAGCCGACCUUGAAAUACCACCCUUUAAUGUUUGAUGUUCUAACGUUGGCCCCUAAUCGGGGUUGCGGACAGUGUCUGGUGGGUAGUUUGACUGGGGCGGUCUCCUCCUAAAGAGUAACGGAGGAGCACGAAGGUUGGCUAAUCCUGGUCGGACAUCAGGAGGUUAGUGCAAUGGCAUAAGCCAGCUUGACUGCGAGCGUGACGGCGCGAGCAGGUGCGAAAGCAGGUCAUAGUGAUCCGGUGGUUCUGAAUGGAAGGGCCAUCGCUCAACGGAUAAAAGGUACUCCGGGGAUAACAGGCUGAUACCGCCCAAGAGUUCAUAUCGACGGCGGUGUUUGGCACCUCGAUGUCGGCUCAUCACAUCCUGGGGCUGAAGUAGGUCCCAAGGGUAUGGCUGUUCGCCAUUUAAAGUGGUACGCGAGCUGGGUUUAGAACGUCGUGAGACAGUUCGGUCCCUAUCUGCCGUGGGCGCUGGAGAACUGAGGGGGGCUGCUCCUAGUACGAGAGGACCGGAGUGGACGCAUCACUGGUGUUCGGGUUGUCAUGCCAAUGGCACUGCCCGGUAGCUAAAUGCGGAAGAGAUAAGUGCUGAAAGCAUCUAAGCACGAAACUUGCCCCGAGAUGAGUUCUCCCUGACUCCUUGA